RNAcentral lists this ribosomal RNA (375 nucleotides) under uncultured bacterium. Its description in RNAcentral is "bacterial SSU rRNA". It matches the Rfam family "Bacterial small subunit ribosomal RNA", at positions 426 to 793 of the family's 1533-position model. The record is from RNAcentral.
UAAAGUUACUUCAGCAGUGAAGGAGGUGGUAUGUUAAUAGCAUAUUCAUUUGACGUUAGCUGCAGAAGAAGCACCGGCUAACUCCGUGCCAGCAGCCGCGGUAAUACGGAGGGUGCGAGCGUUAAUCGGAAUUACUGGGCGUAAAGCGCAUGCAGGUGGUUUGUUAAGUCAGAUGUGAAAGCCCGGGGCUCAACCUCGGAAUUGCAUUUGAAACUGGCAAACUAGAGUACUGUAGAGGGGGUAGGAAUUUCAGGUGUAGCGGUGAAAUGCGUAGAGAUCUGAAGGAAUACCGGUGGCGAAGGCGGCCCCCUCGGACAGAUACUGACACUCAGAUGCGAAAGCGUGGGGAGCAAACAGGAUUAGAUACCCUGGUAG